UAUAAUGUUUUUCCCAAAUACAAAUUAAACUUUGUACGCUACUUUUAUAUAAUCUAAUUAAAAUAGUAAAAUAAAUUAAAAUAAAUUUUUUAUUUUUUUUAAAUUUAUUCUUUAAUAAAAGUUGCUUGAACAUCACAGUUAUAAAAGCUUACAGAUUAUACAUAUACAUAUACAUAUAAAACGAUCACGAAACGAGAAAAUCUAACUUGAAAAAAGACAACCUCAUUUCCUUCGUCCCUUAUUUCUUUCAUUCCCGAUGUAUACCUCGUUCUCGUUAUCGUCCGCUCGAUAUCGCGAAGGAGGGCAAAGUAUGUCGGAUUCCUCGCAUCGAUGCUCGAUAGAGCGAUGCGUGCGCGAUUGUACAGCAAGCGUGGCUCGCACAGAGAGCCGAGGAGCAAGCUUUCGGCCAUUUCCGCCGUGAGCUCGGUUCGGUUCGGCGCAACGCGUGUAAUCAAGUGGUAUAAAUAAUUCCGUGGCGCAGCCAUGAGCUGGCCACCCGAGCGAAGAGCUUAUUCCCCUGUUAUGACACGCCGGAAUCGGGACGCCUAGCCGCGCGCGCGACAACGGCCCAUCGUGCAACCCCUUCGCUAGAGAAAACACGCGACUAUAGCUCUUACGGAUUGGCUAAUCGCCAUUUGUUUCGAAACGGUGGGCCGAUUCUCGACUAACGCCCCGGAUCGCGAAGCGGUCAUUAGUGCAACGGAACCGGUGCGCCUGGGACAGGAAAACGCGGAAUGUCCGCGAGCCACAGCCGCUCGCGCUGGAUGCCCCUAUUAUCGGUCGUCCGACCGCUAGAAUGCCGUUAGACGAUAGUCAAUCUAUUGUUCUACGUGCGUGUAUGCGAUCUUGACGCUCCUCAGCCGGAGAGCGAAGCCAAUGGCCUAACUGUGAGUGAAUCAAUAACGACAGCACCGCUCUCCGGAUUUUUCUUUGAUUUUGUUUGCCGCGCAUUCUAUUUUGUAAAUUUCUCGACUCGAUAUAGAAUUUAAAAUUGAGAGGUUCCAGUCGAAGCAAAAUAACUAUACGUGAGAAUCGAAAUUGAUAUAGAUGUGACAUGUGCCCGUUCCUUACUGGACCUGGAAUUAUUUUUCAUAAUAGGAAAUUUAAUAAAAAAUAAUUUCUAAAAUAUAUUAAAUAAAAAAAGAACGAGUAAAAUGAGAUUUUAAAACCAUCGAAACUCGACAGAUAAAAA
Long non-coding RNA from Apis cerana (Asiatic honeybee), 1192 nucleotides. RefSeq lists it as uncharacterized. The record is from RefSeq and is a predicted model, not a curated record. Lineage: Eukaryota; Metazoa; Arthropoda; Insecta; Hymenoptera; Apidae.